This 526-nucleotide ribosomal RNA is filed under the name uncultured bacterium. Its description in RNAcentral is "bacterial SSU rRNA". It matches the Rfam family "Bacterial small subunit ribosomal RNA", at positions 35 to 533 of the family's 1533-position model. The record is from RNAcentral.
GCUGGCGGCGUGCCUAACACAUGCAAGUCGAACGAGAAACUUUCCGCUUGCGGGAAGGAGUAAAGUGGCGCACGGGUGAGUAACGCGUGGGUAACCUACCCUCGAAAUCGGGAUAACUCCGCGAAAGCGGUGCUAAUACCGAAUGCCGCCCUAAAGAUGGUGAUCUUUAGGGUUAAAGGUGACCUCUUCUUGAAAGUUGCCGUUCAAGGAUGGGCCCGCGUACCAUUAGCUUGUUGGUAAGGUAAAAGCUUACCAAGGCGACGAUGGUUAGCUGGUCUGAGAGGAUGAUCAGCCACACUGGAACUGACACACGGUCCAGACUCCUACGGGAGGCAGCAGUGAGGAAUUUUGCGCAAUGGGGGAAACCCUGACGCAGCAACGCCGCGUGAGUGAUGAAGGCUUUCGGGUCGUAAAGCUCUGUCAAGUGAGAAGAAAACACGUUUUGAUAACACCAAAACGUACUGACGGUAUCACUGAAGGAAGCACCGGCUAACUCCGUGCCAGCCGCCGCGGUAAUACAAGCCGA